AGAGAUAUGCAAACCGUUUCAGUGUAUUAACUAGGGGACGUAUGGACAGAAAUAUAAAGCUGAACAAAGUUUUGUGAAUGUAGCUGGAAAUCUAGAGAACGUGUUACAUUAGAACAGAACAUUUUUGGGAGCUUCCCAAGAACUUCAUAUUUAGUGUAUGUUUCCCUUACUGGACGCACCCAGUCAAUGAGUGACUUCAGCUGGAUUCAAUGAGGGGAAACAUCCAAGAUGUGCAGCAGCUCUGGGGUUUUGGUUUUAGGUCAAGGAUUUUUAAAGGGAAAAUAUUGUACAGGGACUAGCCUACAUGAUAAAGUAACACAAUAGCACAGGCUACUAUCAAACCCACCUCUCGCAGACCGCCCGAUCUGUCCGAGUUUGGGGGCUCGCUGCAUUCUUCGUGGGGCGGACAGGAGGUCUGGUCUGGUUCUCCCCGCCUGUCCGUGCUCGUACGGGAUUACCGGACUGGGCUGUAACACACCUGCCGGUGGUAUGAGAUCGGGCAUUUCUGCCAUGCCGUACAUGUCCUCCUGCUGCUGUACUUCGUCUGUUCACAGAUGGGAUCUUGGAGACCAGUUUCUGCUUGUGGCUGCAAAAUUUAUCCUAAUGGGAGUACAAAGUGUGCAAAGAGACACAUUUCUAAAACCAGCUACAAGUACAAAGCAAUUGUCAAGUGUAUUUGCAGAAACCACAUAAAAGAUUUAAAUGAAGACUACUGGAAACCGUUUGAAAGGAUGUGCAGUUCAGAAUUAAAGCCUUUUUCUAUCCCCUUGUGAUCUGAUGGAAUUGUGCAGCUUUUUAUAGAGCUUUAAUAUGAUUUAUCAUAUCUAUAGCCAACAUGCAUGUUUAAAGUCACGUUGAUUAAUUCACUUUAAUAUAAUAUAACCAUGGAAAUGAUUUGAUUUCAACAAUGUUAUAAUUGUGAUCCUUUUGAUUGUAUCAAAUAAGCAACACAAUAAAAGUAUUUAAA
This is a long non-coding RNA of Carassius carassius (crucian carp), 967 nucleotides long. RefSeq lists it as uncharacterized. The transcript is spliced from 4 exons. NCBI's taxonomy places the organism in Eukaryota, Metazoa, Chordata, Actinopteri, Cypriniformes, Cyprinidae. The record is from RefSeq and is a predicted model, not a curated record.